This 539-nucleotide long non-coding RNA is filed under the name Setaria viridis. Its description in RNAcentral is "long non-coding RNA (SVIR_LNC000703)". The record is from RNAcentral. Lineage: Eukaryota; Viridiplantae; Streptophyta; Magnoliopsida; Poales; Poaceae.
GGGAAUAUGUCUACAAUAGAUUGAAUGCAAAGAAAGAAUAUGUCAAUAAAUGACCUUCUUUUUGUAGAGAACUUCUGCUUUGAAUAACAACCAUAGUAUCUACUACCCCUAUAAACUCACCAAUUGGUUCUUUCUAUGUCCACACAACUAACUCCGCCCACUAAGAUAGUCUUUCUUUCAUCCACACCAUUUAUGCACCUAGGAAUCAAACUCUAUUAGAAUCAAUCAUCAACAUUUGCCCUCAAUCCAUCUUCUCUCUCAUCACUCAGAUCCAACGGCCCACAUUGUUUGGUUAGUCCUACACUCGCCCACCCCUUCCGCACCCCCAUUGCAUCCACAACACAGCUCCUCGCUCCCCCGCGAAGCUGAUUCUACAUUUGGUCUCCAGUUUUCAACUCGGAGCUCGACGUCUAUCCCCGUGCGCUGGCUUGCAGCUGGCUACUGCCCCCUUCCUCUAUUUCCACAUGAGCUGGUCCCACGGAGAACCAUAUCCCCUCCUCUCUUUCCUUCACAGGGGAAUCUCUCUCAUUUCCUUUUCC